RNA transcript from Tarenaya hassleriana, 2789 nucleotides. RefSeq lists it as uncharacterized. NCBI's taxonomy places the organism in Eukaryota, Viridiplantae, Streptophyta, Magnoliopsida, Brassicales, Cleomaceae. The transcript has 7 exons. The record is from RefSeq and is a predicted model, not a curated record.
CAAAAAGAAAAAGGAAGGGACGCGGCACAAUUCCCCGUGCGAGUUCCUUCCUCCCUGGCGCCUCCAACUGCUUCUCCUUCCCCAGUCUCUCUCUCUCAGAUCGGUUCCGGUCGACGGCCAUUGUCACCGCCUCAGUCGCAUCUCCGAAUCUAUCAUCGUCGGUCACAUCGUUUCGAUCCCGUGGAAUCCAAGUCGGUGUGGAGUAGAAUUGUAAGAUAGCGGCUGUUAUUACGCCGAGGUGUAAAGUCCCGGAGCUUGUGUAAGGCAGUGUUUGAGCUCCUGAUAAGACCCAUAUUUUUAUGUACAAUUAUGGGUUCAGUUUGCUGUGUAGCUGCGAGGGAUGGUAAUGUUACCAAUGUUCAUGGUGGUGGAGCUCUCCAUCGAAAUUCAGCACGCUCACCUACAUGGAGUUUUCGACGGGACAAUAGGAGGCGUGUGGCUGAUGAGCUUGAGGGUUCUCCUUUCGAUAAUACGUAUGUCGACAGACAGGGUAUUAACAUGGAUAAAUUGUCCUUAGGUUCUGAAAGAGGAGCUCUAUCUGAAGGAGAUAGCCCUCCUGGGCAUCUCAGAACUCCCACCUCUCACAAGUCAGCACCUCCUCACACUGAACUGGAUACAAAUAUCAUGAUUCCUUCACCUUCAGACUUAUCCUUGACAAGUCAUGGCCCCGCUGAGGUUAAGAAUUUAGCUGAUUCGCCAAAUAUUGUUCCAUCAACUCUGCCAAAGCCUUCAUUCUUUACACCUUCUUUGACCACUUCAGUCUGUGAUCAUUCAUCGGCUCACUCACAUUUGCUUCCUCCCAAAACAACUCCAUCCAGACAAGCUCGACGAUCACCUGGGCAUCAGUUGUUUAGGCAGGUUUCCGAUAUUCAAAUCUUGGGAUUGAAAUCCACAAAUAACUACUCAAUUUCUGAAGGAAGAUCAUCCUUUGUACUUUCCAACUGCAGCAAUGAUUUUGCCACUGGAUCUCAUUAUGCUUCUUCUGAAGGUAGCUGGUCCAUGAACGCCUUUCAUGAGCUCAUGGCAUCUUCCCAAAGAGAGAGAUGGUCCUUUGAUAACGAACACCUGGGCUCUAGCCGAAUAAAACUUAGUGGGUGUAGCAGCAGAUUUUCGUACUCUCCUUCUGUCGAUCGUGAGACUUGUAGGGCUUGCGCAAGGCUAUUGACCGAGAGGUCUUCUAUUUCAAAUUACGAACUCCCAAUAGCUUCUGUUCUGGCAUGUGGGCAUGUGUACCAUGCGGAGUGCUUAGAGAUCAUGACCACUGAGAUGGAAAAGUACGAUCCGGCCUGUCCCAUAUGCACAGUCGGGGAGAAACAGGUUGCUAAAAUGUCAAAGAAAGCCCUAAAGGCUCAGGCUGAAUUGAAAGCAAAGCACUACAGAAGAUACAAAAGACGUGUCGUAGAUAGUUAUGUUGAUGGGGAAAGUGACGAUUUCGUGUACCAGAAGAUGGGAAACCGAGAUGGAAAAGCUCUGAAGAUGGAUCCUAGUUCCAGUACCAUAGGCUCAUUGAAGCCGUUCUUGAAAUGGCAAUUUGGUUCUAUAGGCUCUAAGUUGAGUAAGCCCUUAUUCAAGGAUUCUGCAUCAAAGAAGAAGGGGUUUUGGUCUAGGCAUCGGAAAGAGUAAAAAACACUAUCAAUUAUUCAGUUUUCAGGGCUUUAACCCGAGACUUCAGCCAUGAUUGGGGAUGACUGUUAACGAGAGAGUGAAACCCCUCGAUGUGGUUCAAUGUGCAAUUGAUGAUCCACAGGAAACAUGCUAUAAAAAUAAUAUUCAGAAGGCAAGGCCUGGGCUAAAGGAUCACUCAUCAUAAGUGGGAUGGAUUCAGGUAUGCUUUCUGUUUGAUUUGCCCGUUCAAAUGCCCCUUUCUCUUGUGGCUGGAACUCGAAGGAUGUCAUCAACUAUGUUUGAAGCAAUGCGAGUGAAGAAUAAAAUGGAGAAUAUUCUCUGAUUUGGUACUGCUUGAAGAGCUUUGGCAUCUAUCUUCAACUAUGGGACUCUUAGGUGAAUUUUCCGAUACCAACAUGAACUAUUAGGGUUGGUGAUAUCCUUCAUGAUUUUUAGCAUUUCCCAUUCUCGUUUAGCCGGUAUCGAACUAUUAGGGUUGAACACGGAUCAAAUAAUCGUGAUUUUGGGGUACCAAUCUCGAUCCUAUGCUUCUCGGGUUUUAGGGUUUGGAUCCCGUCAUCGUUCUGUUCGAAUUUGGUAUUCAAUUUUCGGAUGCUUGUGAAAUACUCCAAAAAUCAAGUACUGCAGAUUAUCCAACUGAGAAGGCGAGGUGUGGUUCGACGAUAUGAAGAAUGAUGCGAAAGGGGCGAGCCUCGCCUUGUGAGAUCGUGAGGAAAGAGGUGAAGAGGUCAAGGAAAGCGAGACUCAGAGAGAGAAAACACGUACCCAAAGAGCACGCGGCAUAUUGACGAGUGCAGAGUCGAAGCGAGUGGUGAGGCGAGUAGCAAUGGGUUGGAGACGUGACGAGCGACUGAUCUUGCCUCCUCGCGUUGCCUUGAGCCUUCCGGUUUUUCCUUGAAAUGACGAAAAUCCUAGAAAACGGUAAAAUACCCAAUUUAAAAUCCUUUCAUCGCUUCUCUCGAGUUUAAAUCUGAAGAUCAAAUUCUUGCUGUAGUUAGACCCACAAUCACAAAUUUUCAUUCUCCAACUCCCAGUAUCAACGUUUGCUAUGAACUAUGACGAGUACUUGGCAGUUAUGGGUCUUGGACGUAGAAAGAUUAGGGAAUUUUAUUUGUCUAGGGGUAAGACGAACAUCAACAAUAAAGUCCUCUCCUUUUUUAGUU